RNAcentral lists this ribosomal RNA (492 nucleotides) under uncultured bacterium. RNAcentral describes it as "partial 16S ribosomal RNA". It matches the Rfam family "Bacterial small subunit ribosomal RNA", at positions 29 to 507 of the family's 1533-position model. The record is from RNAcentral.
AGUGAACGCUGGCGGUAGGCCUAACACAUGCAAGUCGAACGGCAGCACAGUAAGAGCUUGCUCUUACGGGUGGCGAGUGGCGGACGGGUGAGGAAUACAUCGGAAUCUACUUUUUCGUGGGGGAUAACGUAGGGAAACUUACGCUAAUACCGCAUACGACCUACGGGUGAAAGCAGGGGAUCUUCGGACCUUGCGCGAUUGAAUGAGCCGAUGUCGGAUUAGCUAGUUGGCGGGGUAAAGGCCCACCGAGGCGACGAUCCGUAGCUGGUCUGAGAGGAUGAUCAGCCACACUGGAACUGAGACACGGUCCAGACUCCUACGGGAGGCAGCAGUGGGGAAUAUUGGACAAUGGGCGCAAGCAUGAUCCAGCCAUACCGCGUGGGUGAAGAAGGCCUUCGGGUUGUAAAGCCCUUUUGUUGGGAAAGAAAAGCAGCAGGUUAAUACCCCGCUGUUCUGACGGUACCCAAAGAAUAAGCACCGGCUAACUUCGUG